This is a long non-coding RNA of Mastomys coucha (southern multimammate mouse), 1101 nucleotides long. RefSeq lists it as uncharacterized. NCBI's taxonomy places the organism in Eukaryota, Metazoa, Chordata, Mammalia, Rodentia, Muridae. The record is from RefSeq and is a predicted model, not a curated record. The transcript is spliced from 2 exons.
GCAAGGAAACACACAGACAACUUCUUCAAUGUGAAAGGCAUUACAAUAUAUGCUUCUAUAGGAGCUGUGUUCCUGACCCGUCAGAUAAGCAUCUUCAUCCUGUGACUCAGAAGUGCAAGCUGCUCACAACAUCAAGAGUAAAGAAAAAAACAAGCAAAAGCAACUCAUGCUCAGGAGCCUUAAGAGGUUUAAUGUUGAUAGGAUCAGAUUUGAGGAGGACAAACCAUCUGCCCCAACACAGAAGUAACUGGGACCAGAGGUAGCAGGGAACCCAGGAACUCUGCCUGACCAGUGGCAUGGAUUAAUUCCUGUCUGUGGCAGUGCCCUGAGGAGACCUUAAGCAAGAACUCCGCAGGUAGUCCCACAAUACCCAGAAGAAGAUCCACUCCCAGGCAUUCUAACAAACCCAGGAUCACAGGAUUCCAGAAUCCCAGAAGCCUAGUCACACCAGGAGCUCAGGGUCCCAAAGGCAGGUUGACUCCCAGGAGCUUUGACACACCCAGAAUCACAGGAUCCCAAAAUCACAGGAUCGCAGAGAGAGCAGAACCUGAGGAGUUCUGACACAACCAGGGUCACAGGAAGGACAGGCCCCAGUUAGAUAUAGCGAGGGCAAGUCACACUAGAGAUAAUCAGAUGGUGGGUGUUGGAAACCAAAAGCACACUCUGAGCAUUCCCUGGCUUGACCCGCUGCUAACUUCAGCUCUGGCAGAGACACCUGGAGCCAAGAGGCUUGGGAACCAGGCACCUUCCUCCCCGGAAAAAAUGUUUUAUGGCUAUCUUCAUCCCUGGGAGAGUUUCAAGCAGGCACUAAAGGGUCAAGCAGGAAUCUUCCCUUCCUGGGAAGGUGUUAAAUCAAGCCCACUCCUCCUGAGAAAAUGUUUACCUUGCCCUGCUGAGAGGCGCCUGGAGCCAAGCUUCACAGAGACAACUCCCCAAGAUAAGGCUGCAAUAUGUCUCAGGCCCCCUUAUCAAACACCUGUCCAGAUGUUCCCCUCUACUCCUUUGUUCCAGCCGAAUUCCCCUCACCCCUCCUCAUUUUCUUUUUCUGUAACGUAUAUAUACUGGCCACUGGUCAUUAAUAAAUGAGGCUUUGACAAAAGA